This 466-nucleotide ribosomal RNA is filed under the name Vreelandella stevensii. RNAcentral describes it as "partial 16S ribosomal RNA". It matches the Rfam family "Bacterial small subunit ribosomal RNA", at positions 338 to 796 of the family's 1533-position model. The record is from RNAcentral. Lineage: Bacteria; Pseudomonadati; Pseudomonadota; Gammaproteobacteria; Oceanospirillales; Halomonadaceae.
CCUACGGGGCGCAGCAGUGGGGAAUAUUGGACAAUGGGCGAAAGCCUGAUCCAGCCAUGCCGCGUGUGUGAAGAAGGCCUUCGGGUUGUAAAGCACUUUCAGUGGGGAAGAAAGCCUUGGGGCUAAUACCCUCGAGGAAGGACAUCACCCACAGAAGAAGCACCGGCUAACUCCGUGCCAGCAGCCGCGGUAAUACGGAGGGUGCGAGCGUUAAUCGGAAUUACUGGGCGUAAAGCGCGCGUAGGCGGUCUGAUAAGCCGGUUGUGAAAGCCCCGGGCUCAACCUGGGAACGGCAUCCGGAACUGUCAGGCUAGAGUGCAGGAGAGGAAGGUAGAAUUCCCGGUGUAGCGGUGAAAUGCGUAGAGAUCGGGAGGAAUACCAGUGGCGAAGGCGGCCUUCUGGACUGACACUGACGCUGAGGUGCGAAAGCGUGGGUAGCAAACAGGAUUAGAUACCCGUGUAGUCC